RNAcentral lists this ribosomal RNA (490 nucleotides) under uncultured bacterium. Its description in RNAcentral is "partial 16S ribosomal RNA". It matches the Rfam family "Bacterial small subunit ribosomal RNA", at positions 28 to 507 of the family's 1533-position model. The record is from RNAcentral.
GAUGAACGCUCGCUACAGGCUUAACACAUGCAAGUCGCAGGGUAACAUGAGGAAAGCUUGCUUUCCUUGAUGACGACUGGCGCACGGGUGAGUAACGCGUAUCCAACCUUCCCAUAACUACGGGAUAACCCGUUGAAAGACGGCCUAAUACCGUAUGAUAUCGUUUGCUGACAUCAAAUAACGAUUAAAGGUUUAGCGGUUAUGGAUGGGGAUGCGUCUGAUUAGCUUGUUGGCGGGGUAACGGCCCACCAAGGCGACGAUCAGUAGGGGUUCUGAGAGGAAGGUCCCCCACAUUGGAACUGAGACACGGUCCAAACUCCUACGGGAGGCAGCAGUGAGGAAUAGUGGUCAAUGGGCGAGAGCCUGAACCAGCCAAGUAGCGUGCAGGACGACGGCCCUAUGGGUUGUAAACUGCUUUUAUGUGGGGAUAAAGUGCGUGACGUGUCAUGCAUUGCAGGUACCACAUGAAUAAGGACCGGCUAAUUCCGUG